RNAcentral lists this long non-coding RNA (460 nucleotides) under Phoenix dactylifera (date palm). RNAcentral describes it as "long non-coding RNA (PDAC_LNC005212)". The record is from RNAcentral. Lineage: Eukaryota; Viridiplantae; Streptophyta; Magnoliopsida; Arecales; Arecaceae.
UGGUCACAAGGGCAAGUCCCAGUUCCCAUCUCCAAUGAUCAUGUUACUUCUAGACCAGAAUAUUAUUCUUGUAGAUCAAACCUCACAUGAUCAAUUGAAAAUAAGAUACCAUCAAUAAAAAUAAGUACAUUUUUCUGCAAAUUUUUUAACAAAAAACAGGGCUUAUAGAGAAGCUUCUCAUCGAGGAAUUUUGGCAUCAUUGAAGCGAUGCUCUUGGAAACCUUGUUCUUGGAUUUCUUUGGAGGGACAUGACAUGGGUUCGAGAGAGAGAGAGAGAGAGAGAGAGAGAGANNNNNNNNNNNNNNNNNNNNAGAGAGAGAGAGAGAGAGAGAGAGAGAGAUGGUUGACAAAUUUGUAUGGUGCUUCGAGUGGAAGGAACGGACCUGAAGGUAGAACGCUGAGCUCACCAUUACUGCUUUCUUCCUCUCGCCACCUUUGUCCCAUCUUUGUUGAAAUGGUU